RNAcentral lists this long non-coding RNA (1208 nucleotides) under Anas zonorhyncha (Eastern spot-billed duck). RNAcentral's name for it is "lncRNA (ENSAZOG00000014126.1)". The record is from RNAcentral. Lineage: Eukaryota; Metazoa; Chordata; Aves; Anseriformes; Anatidae.
GGCAGAUGUUGGCCAUCAGCCGGUGCUGUUGCAAGGCACGGAGGGGCGGCGCGACCCGGCGGUAGGAUGGGGGGGGGCGCGCUGCAGCGUGGGCUGGGCCGCAAGGGCAGAGGUGAGCUCUCAGGGCUGUUCUGCAAAAGGGUGAAAGUACGUUGAGGGGGUGUUAAACCUGGGGGUAGGAAAGGGCCAGGAAGGAUUACGGCGUCCCUGUUUGAUGUGUAGGGUUUUGUGAGACUCUGGAGAAGUCUAACGGGCUGCAGGUUUCAGUUUGGGACAGCGCUGCCACUGCAUGUGUCUGCUGCAGGUUUGUGGGCAUACAAAGACUUUCAGAAAUGCGGCUCUGCUGUCAACUAACUUUCUUACAGCUAUGAAAAAUACAUCCUCAUGUUGUAGACCAGAAAAGGAGGUAUGUGACUUCAGCAUUUAAAGGAAACUAAUUACAGUUAUCUAUAAACAAACUAAAUAAGCCUCACCAACUGUUUUGACUAUGUGAUAUGAGCAGAUAUUGGUUCAGUUGCUGGUAAAGUUACCGUACCAAUCAAAUUAGUUGGGUUUCUUCCAUAUCAGCACAGAGAUAGUGAACAAACUUGGGCAUUUAACAGAACCAUUCUGUGGGAUUAGCUUUAGUUAGUCUCUAGAGACACUUAAUUCACAUUAGUUACAGGUAUACUGACAGGGUAUCACGAAAAAGCUUCAGCGAUAUGUCAAAGUUCAGAUGUGAUUUACCAAGUGUAUUGGACAUCUUAUACUGAAAAAAAUCUUGGAGCAAACUUGAGUGAGAGUAAGUGAAGUUUCUAUCUGUUUCUCUAAUCUUGUGAAAUAAUUCAGUGCAAAUCCCAGGGUGGCAGAAAUUCUUGCAAAGGAAAGUAACAAAUGGUAUUAGUUAUAGAGGAACUGAAGAAUAGAAAUAACAGAAAUUAACUUCAGUACCACAAUAAUAAAGUUCUUUGCUCUUGCUGAACUUACAAACUUAGAAGAAAUGUUUGCUAUGUUGCUUGUGAUUAGAUAGCCCAGCUUUUGUUUUUUUCACUGUGUUGAAUGAUAGAAUUCAGGGAUAGGGUCCAGUGCACUCGUGUGUAAACUGUUUGUGUAGGAGUAUCAAAUGAUGUGGUAUUGCCCUUUAUAUCUGAUAACUCUGAUUUUAAAACCAACCAAGGAGUAAGUCUGUACUUCGGUAUGUAUAUAGGUAUGUAUUUAUCUCUUGUUAC